This 29-nucleotide non-coding RNA is filed under the name Mus musculus (house mouse). Lineage: Eukaryota; Metazoa; Chordata; Mammalia; Rodentia; Muridae. The record is from RNAcentral.
AGAAAAAUGAGUGUCUAGGAAAGAGUUCC